RNAcentral lists this ribosomal RNA (496 nucleotides) under uncultured bacterium. RNAcentral's name for it is "partial 16S ribosomal RNA". It matches the Rfam family "Bacterial small subunit ribosomal RNA", at positions 29 to 507 of the family's 1533-position model. The record is from RNAcentral.
AUGAACGCUUGCGGCGUGCCUAAUCCAUGCCAGUCGAGCGAACAGACGAGGAGCUUUCUCCUCUGACGUUAGCGGCGGACGGGUGAGUAACACGUGGAUAACCUACCUAUAAGACUGGGAUAACUUCGGGAAACCGGAGCUAAUACCGGAUAAUAUAUUUAACCGCAUGGUUCAAUAGUGAAAGACGGUUUUGCUGUCACUUAUAGAUGGAUCCGCGCCGCAUUAGCUAGUUGGUAAGGUAACGGCUUACCAAGGCAACGAUGCGUAGCCGACCUGAGAGGGUGAUCGGCCACACUGGAACUGAGACACGGUCCAGACUCCUACGGGAGGCAGCAGUAGGGAAUCUUCCGCAAUGGGCGAAAGCCUGACGGAGCAACGCCGCGUGAGUGAUGAAGGUCUUCGGAUCGUAAAACUCUGUUAUUAGGGAAGAACAAAUGUGUAAGUAACUAUGCACGUCUUGACGGUACCUAAUCAGAAAGCCACGGCUAACUACGUG